AUUGAACGCUGGCGGCAGGCCUAACACAUGCAAGUCGAGCGGAUGAAGGGAGCUUGCUCCUGGAUUCAGCGGCGGACGGGUGAGUAAUGCCUAGGAAUCUGCCUGGUAGUGGGGGCUAACGUCCGGACACGGGCGCUAAUACCGCAUACGUCCUGAGGGAGAAAGUGGGGGAUCUUCGGACCUCACGCUAUCAGAUGAGCCUAGGUCGGAUUAGCUAGUUGGUGGGGUAAAGGCCUACCAAGGCGACGAUCCGUAACUGGUCUGAGAGGAUGAUCAGUCACACUGGAACUGAGACACGGUCCAGACUCCUACGGGAGGCAGCAGUGGGGAAUAUUGGACAAUGGGCGAAAGCCUGAUCCAGCCAUGCCGCGUGUGUGAAGAAGGUCUUCGGAUUGUAAAGCACUUUAAGUUGGGAGGAAGGGAAGUAAGUUAAUACCUUGCUGUUUUGACGUUACCAACAGAAUAAGCACCGGCUAACUUCGUG
This 484-nucleotide ribosomal RNA is filed under the name uncultured bacterium. RNAcentral's name for it is "partial 16S ribosomal RNA". It matches the Rfam family "Bacterial small subunit ribosomal RNA", at positions 30 to 507 of the family's 1533-position model. The record is from RNAcentral.